AUAUCCUCAGACAUCCAGGAGAUAAGUCGAGGCCUGCGACCCACAGAGGGGGUGAAAGCGGGGUGUCGAGUUGGGACUCACCGGGAGAGGCAGAUGGAUUAGAAUCCAUGGCAGAGUGCCCCAUACCGGGUGAGGGGGUUCCCACAUGAAGGAGGAGAUAAAGCCAGAUCUCAGCAGUCAAGG
This is a long non-coding RNA of Corvus hawaiiensis (hawaiian crow), 183 nucleotides long. RefSeq lists it as uncharacterized. The record is from RefSeq and is a predicted model, not a curated record. The transcript has 3 exons. NCBI's taxonomy places the organism in Eukaryota, Metazoa, Chordata, Aves, Passeriformes, Corvidae.